AACAGCAACCCUAGCUGCUGUCCUUUUAUUGGCAGCGUCGUCGUUGUUCGCCGGAGCUUGCCGCAGCUUGCCGGAGUUGCCGACAAAGAACCUUAAUUGCUGCCCUAAUUUCCAGCAGCCACACAAAACCCUUAGAAGAUCCGAGCUCGAGUGGAGCACGGUGACCUGCCGAUACUCGGAGAUUUUUGCUGUAUAUAAGUUUUGCAGACACAGGGAUCC
Long non-coding RNA from Zingiber officinale, 219 nucleotides. RefSeq lists it as uncharacterized. NCBI's taxonomy places the organism in Eukaryota, Viridiplantae, Streptophyta, Magnoliopsida, Zingiberales, Zingiberaceae. The transcript is spliced from 3 exons. The record is from RefSeq and is a predicted model, not a curated record.